RNAcentral lists this RNase P RNA (327 nucleotides) under human gut metagenome. RNAcentral describes it as "Bacterial RNase P class A". It matches the Rfam family "Bacterial RNase P class A". From Rfam's summary of the family: Ribonuclease P (RNase P) is a ubiquitous endoribonuclease, found in archaea, bacteria and eukarya as well as chloroplasts and mitochondria. Its best characterised activity is the generation of mature 5'-ends of tRNAs by cleaving the 5'-leader elements of precursor-tRNAs. The record is from RNAcentral.
AAGGUGCCAGACGAGGAAAGUCCGGGCUUCACAGGGCAGGAUGCCGGAUAACGUCCGGUGGAGGCGACUCCAAGGCCAGUGCAACAGAAAUAAACCGCCGGUAAUAUUGCUUCGUCAAUAUUAUCGGUAAGGGUGGAAAGGCAGUGUAAGAGACUACCGCCCUUCUGGUAACAGAAGGGGCAUAUGUAAACCCCAUCCGAAGCAAGACCAAGCAGAAAGCGACAGGUUUGCCCGACCUGCUUUCAGGUAGGUCGCUUGAGGCUGUUGGCAACAGCAGUCCUAGAUAGAUGAUCACUCUCGACAUAACCCGGCUUAUCGUUCCGCUUA